RNAcentral lists this ribosomal RNA (497 nucleotides) under uncultured bacterium. Its description in RNAcentral is "partial 16S ribosomal RNA". It matches the Rfam family "Bacterial small subunit ribosomal RNA", at positions 28 to 507 of the family's 1533-position model. The record is from RNAcentral.
GAUGAACGCUGGCGGCGUGCCUAAUACAUGCAAGUCGAGCGAACGGACGAGAAGCUUGCUUCUCUGAUGUUAGCGGCGGACGGGUGAGUAACACGUGGAUAACCUACCUAUAAGACUGGGAUAACUUCGGGAAACCGUAGCUAAUACCGGAUAAUAUUUUGAACCGCAUGGUUCAAAAGUGAAAGACGGUCUUGCUGUCACUUAUAGAUGGAUCCGCGCUGCAUUAGCUAGUUGGUAAGGUAACGGCUUACCAAGGCAACGAUGCAUAGCCGACCUGAGAGGAUGAUCGGCCACACUGGAACUGAGACACGGUCCAGACUCCUACGGGAGGCAGCAGUAGGGAAUCUUCCGCAAUGGGCGAAAGCCUGACGGAGCAACGCCGCGUGAGUGAUGAAGGUCUUCGGAUCGUAAAGCUCUGUUAUUAGGGAAGAACAUAUGUGUGAGUAACUGUGCACAUCUUGACGGUACCUAAUCAGAAAGCCACGGCUAACUACGUG